GAGUUUGAUCGUGGCUCAGAUUGAACGCUGGCGGCAGGCCUAAACACAUGCAAGUCGAGCGGUAGAGAGAAGCUUGCUUCUCUUGAGAGCGGCGGACGGGUGAGUAAUGCCUAGGAAUCUGCCUGGUAGUGGGGGAUAACGCUCGGAAACGGACGCUAAUACCGCAUACGUCCUACGGGAGAAAGCAGGGGACCUUCGGGCCUUGCGCUAUCAGAUGAGCCUAGGUCGGAUUAGCUAGUUGGUGAGGUAAUGGCUCACCAAGGCGACGAUCCGUAACUGGUCUGAGAGGAUGAUCAGUCACACUGGAACUGAGACACGGUCCAGACUCCUACGGAGGCAGCAGUGGGGAAUAUUGGACAAUGGGCGAAAGCCUGAUCCAGCCAUGCCGCGUGUGUGAAGAAGGUCUUCGGAGUUGUAAAGCACUUUAAGUUGGGAGGAAGGGCAGUAAAUUAAUACUUU
Molecule: ribosomal RNA, 459 nt
Filed under: uncultured bacterium
Lineage: Bacteria
Description: bacterial SSU rRNA
Rfam family: Bacterial small subunit ribosomal RNA
Source: RNAcentral